UUAGGUCAAGCUACAAAGGGCGCACGGUGGAUGCCUUGGCGCUUGAGGCCGAUGAAGGACGUGGUUACCUGCGAUAAGGUCCGGGGAGUUGGUAGCAAACGGUGAUCCGGACAUUUCCCAAUGGGGGAACCCGACCAGGUCGAUCCCUGGUCACCCGCACCUGAAUACAUAGGGUGCGCGGAGGGCACCGGGGGAACUGAAACAUCUCAGUACCCCGAGGAACAGAAAAGAUUCCCUGAGUAGUGGCGAGCGAAACGGGAAGAGCCUAAACCCGACCCGCGUGAUAGACGGCAGUCGUUGCGGUUCGGGAGUUGUGAGGCGCGACUGUGGACCUGCCGGUCCACGACGGAGUCCAAAAACGUGAUCGUUAGUGGAAGGCUGCCUGGAACGGCCAACCAAAGAGGGUGAGAGUCCCGUACACGAAAGCGAUCACGCUCCGGUCGAUGUCCUCGAGUACCACCCGGAAGGUCUCCAGGGUGGGAAACUCGGCAGACCAUUGUCGAAGGCUAAAUACCUCAAGCGACCGAUAGUGAACUAGUACCGUGAGGGAAAGGUGAAAAGCACCCCGGGAGGGGAGUGAAAUAGAAACUGAAACCGUGUGCCUACAAGCAGUCGAAGCGUGUUGCUGCGCAAGCAGUAGCGUGACGGCGUGCCUAUUGAAGAAUGAUCCGGCGAGUUAGCUGUAUGCGGCGAGGUUAAGGACUGACGUCCGGAGCCGAAGCGAAAGCGAGUCUGAAUAGGGCGUGGACCGCAAGGUCCGUAGUCGCAUGCACUAGACCCGAAACCGCGUGAGCUACCCAUGGCCAGGCUGAAGCGGAGGUAAUACUCCGUGGAGGGCCGAACUCUUCAACGUUGAAAAGUUGAGGGAUGAGCUGUGGGUAGAGGUGAAAUGCCAACCGAACGCGGAGAUAGCUGGUUCUCCUCGAAAUAGUUCUAGGACUAGCGUCGCGCAUUCCCUCAUUGAGGUAGAGCACUGGAUGGGCUAGGGGGCUUAUCGCUUACCAAACCCAACCAAACUCCGAAUGCGAUGAGGCCAAGCGCGGCAGUCAGUCUCCGGGGGCUAAGCUCCGGGGACAAAAGGGAAACAGCCCAGACCAACAGCUAAGGUCCCGAAAUCCAGGCUAAGUGGGAAAGGAUGUUGGAUCGCUCAGACAACCAGGAUGUUGGCUUAGAAGCAGCCAUCAUUGAAAGAGUGCGUAACAGCUCACUGGUCGAGUGAUCCAGCGCCGAAAAUCCAACGGGGCUCAAGCCUGGUACCGAAGCUUUGGAUGCGCGAGGUCCUUCGGGAUCUCGUGCGUGGUAGAGGAGCGUUCUCAGUGCAGUGAAGGUGGACCGUGAGGACCGCUGGAGCGCUGAGAAGUGCGAAUGCCGGAACGAGUAGCGAGACGUGCGUGAGAAACGCACGCGCCGUAAGCCUAAGGUUUCCUGAGGAAGGUUAAUCCGCUCAGGGUCAGUCGGGCCUAAGUCGAGGCCGAAAGGCGUAGACGAUGGACAUCCGGUUUAUAUUCCGGAACCGCUCGAGACCGUUAUCAACGAAGGGGUGACUCAGUCUGGUAGUCCCAGCGCACUUUGGCUAUGUG
This 1580-nucleotide ribosomal RNA is filed under the name Verrucomicrobiota bacterium. RNAcentral's name for it is "bacterial LSU rRNA". It matches the Rfam family "Bacterial large subunit ribosomal RNA", at positions 1 to 1509 of the family's 2925-position model. The record is from RNAcentral. Lineage: Bacteria; Pseudomonadati; Verrucomicrobiota.